UACGUAUGGUGCAAGCGUUAUCCGGAUUUACUGGGCGUAAAGGGAGCGCAGGCGGUGCGCCAAGUCUGAUGUGAAACCCCGGGGCUCAACCCCGGGCAUGCAUUGGAAACUGGCGGGCUGGAGUGCCGGAGAGGUAAGCGGAAUUCCUAGUGUAGCGGUGAAAUGCGUAGAUAUUAGGAGGAACACCAGCGGCGAAGGCGGCUUACUGGACGGCAACUGACGCUGAGGCUCGAAAGCGUGGGGAGCAAACAGG
Molecule: ribosomal RNA, 253 nt
Filed under: uncultured bacterium
Lineage: Bacteria
Description: partial 16S ribosomal RNA
Rfam family: Bacterial small subunit ribosomal RNA
Source: RNAcentral